RNAcentral lists this ribosomal RNA (393 nucleotides) under uncultured bacterium. RNAcentral's name for it is "partial 16S ribosomal RNA". It matches the Rfam family "Bacterial small subunit ribosomal RNA", at positions 523 to 918 of the family's 1533-position model. The record is from RNAcentral.
AUACGGAGGAUGCGAGCGUUAUCCGGAUUUAUUGGGUUUAAAGGGUGCGUAGGCUGUGCGUUAAGUCAGGGGUGAAAUGCCGUCGCUCAACGACGGAGCUGCCCUUGAUACUGGCGUGCUGGAGUACGGAUGCCGUUGGAGGAAUGAGUGGUGUAGCGGUGAAAUGCCUAGAUAUCACUCAGAACACCGAUUGCGAAGGCAUCGGACGAAUCCGUCACUGACGCUGAGGCACGAAAGCGUGGGGAUAGAACAGGAUUAGAUACCCUGGUAUUCCACGCCGUAAACGAUGAUGACUAACCGUCGGCGAUAGACAGCCGGUGGCCAAGCGAAAGCGAUAAGUCAUCCACCUGGGGAGUACGUCGGCAACGAUGAAACUCAAAUGAAUUGACGGGG